RNAcentral lists this long non-coding RNA (926 nucleotides) under Ursus maritimus (polar bear). RNAcentral's name for it is "lncRNA (ENSUMAG00000016312.1)". The record is from RNAcentral. Lineage: Eukaryota; Metazoa; Chordata; Mammalia; Carnivora; Ursidae.
CUGAAACAUUGCCUCUGGCAGCAGCAGCCCCAGCUAGCCUUCACCCAUGUAGUCCUGUGCGAAUUUUGGGCCACUCUGCAGACCGGUGAGCCCCCAGCCCCGUCAGCCGGGCUGCAGGAACUCCCCAGCCAGACAGGAGCCUUGGUGAAAUGCAGCAAAUGGAUGAAGCCAGAGGCCUGCAGGCUGUAAACACACACGAGCCUCAAGGAUGCGCCCAGCUUCCCGUCCAUCUCACCAGGAAAGAACGGAGGCCUUGGCUCCUGGUAUAGACAAGGGUCACCUGCCAUGAAGACUAGCCAGACUCACCCCCAUCGCUUGGGGCAACCACAGCUUUGCUUCAGGCCUGCAAACAGCUGGCAUCCACCUGAGUUGGGGAGAGAGGCCUUCCAGUGUGCUGUGGCAAAUGGUCAUUUGCCAGGAUGCAGACUGGUGUGGACGCCCACCCUGCAGGACCCCACCCCGACAAGGAAAAGUCAAUGCUUUGAAGAGUAGAAGAGGUAAAAUAUUAAUGAAACUCGGGCACAAACACAGCUGAAUGCUUUCUUUGAGCCUCCGUCUAAUCAAGGGGGAAAUGUCUCGAAGAGUUGAUAUAUGUGAAACAGGAUGAUUUCAUUCUGGGAAGAAUAAUUAAGCUCCUACAGUCCUGUUUUCCUGUGAAUGCUUCCAGGAUUUGGAGAGAAUUUUAAAAAGUGGAGCCCAACAGGGUGAAUCAGCCACCUAGGACUGCUGGUAAAUCAGUAGAAUUUUCUUGGUAGAAAAACAACACAGCACCCCGCCUUUGCCCAGAAGGCUCCCUGGCCUGCCGGCCAGCCUGCCCACAGCAUGCCAGCCCCGCACUGUUCCCCUGCUGGACCGGCUUCCGGUCAAGCACAGAGGCUCAGCCCAGACAUACUGGCCUAAUAAAAAAGAUUGAUUCACUCGGGACA